GACGUAGGGUGCAAGCGUUGUCCGGAAUUAUUGGGCGUAAAGAGUUCGUAGGCGGUUUGUUAAGUCUGAUGUUAAAGACUGGAGCUCAACUCCAGCAUGGCAUUGGAUACUGGCAGGCUAGAGUGCGGUAGAGGUCUCGGGAAUUCCAGGUGUAGCGGUGAAAUGCGUAGAUAUCUGGAGGAACACCGGUGGCGAAAGCGCGAGACUGGGCCGUAACUGACGCUGAGGAACGAAAGCCAGGGGAGCGAAAGGG
This 253-nucleotide non-coding RNA is filed under the name uncultured cyanobacterium. RNAcentral's name for it is "contains 16S-23S intergenic spacer region". It matches the Rfam family "Bacterial small subunit ribosomal RNA", at positions 524 to 776 of the family's 1533-position model. RNAcentral also lists the same sequence under 1 other name. The record is from RNAcentral. Lineage: Bacteria; Bacillati; Cyanobacteriota.